This 67-nucleotide transfer RNA is filed under the name Paragonimus kellicotti. Its description in RNAcentral is "tRNA-Ala". The record is from RNAcentral. Lineage: Eukaryota; Metazoa; Platyhelminthes; Trematoda; Plagiorchiida; Troglotrematidae.
GACGACAUAGUUUAAGCUUAGAGAUGGUUGCUCUGCAAGUAGCCGGUGAGGAAAUUCUCUGUUGUUG